AUUUGCUUGUUUUUCAAAUUUUUUAGCAUCUUGAAAAUUUGCUCAUUCUCAUUUGAUUAUUUAGUUUUAGUAUCAGAGCAAGUUGCAUCUUGAAAAUUUGCUCAUUCUCAUUUGAUUAUUUAGUUUUAGUAUCAGAGCAAGUUUAACAAUUAAGUGUAUCAAUGCAUGUCUCAGAAUUAAUUAUAAAGUAUAUCAGAGCA
RNAcentral lists this long non-coding RNA (200 nucleotides) under Elaeis guineensis (African oil palm). Its description in RNAcentral is "long non-coding RNA (EGUI_LNC019097)". Lineage: Eukaryota; Viridiplantae; Streptophyta; Magnoliopsida; Arecales; Arecaceae. The record is from RNAcentral.